RNAcentral lists this ribosomal RNA (253 nucleotides) under uncultured bacterium. Its description in RNAcentral is "partial 16S ribosomal RNA". It matches the Rfam family "Bacterial small subunit ribosomal RNA", at positions 524 to 776 of the family's 1533-position model. The record is from RNAcentral.
UACAGAGGUCCCGAGCGUUGUUCGGAUUCAUUGGGCGUAAAGGGUGCGUAGGCGGCUGGGUAAGUUUGAUGUGAAAUCCUGGGGCUCAACCCUGGAACUGCAUUGAAUACUGCUCGGCUAGAGUACUGGAGAGGAAACUGGAAUUUACGGUGUAGCAGUGAAAUGCGUAGAUAUCGUAAGGAAGACCAGUGGCGAAGGCGAGUUUCUGGACAGUUACUGACGCUGAGGCACGAAGGCCAGGGGAGCAAACAGG